RNAcentral lists this ribosomal RNA (497 nucleotides) under uncultured bacterium. Its description in RNAcentral is "partial 16S ribosomal RNA". It matches the Rfam family "Bacterial small subunit ribosomal RNA", at positions 28 to 507 of the family's 1533-position model. The record is from RNAcentral.
GAUGAACGCUGGCGGCGUGCCUAAUACAUGCAAGUCGAGCGAACAGACGCGGAGCUUGCUGCUCUGACGUUAGCGGCGGACGUGUGAGUAACACGUGUAUAACCUACCUGUAAGACUGGGAUAACUUCGGGAAACCGGAUCUAAUACCGUAUAAUAUCUUGAACCGCGUGGUUCAAUAGUGAAAUACGGCGUUGCGGUCAGUUCUAGAGGGAUCCGCGCUGCAUUAGCUAGUUGGUAAGUUAAAGGCUUACCAAGGCAACGAUGCGUAGACGACGUGAGAGAGUGAUCGGCCACCCUGGAGGUGAGACACGCACAAGACUCCUACGAGAGGCAGCAGUAGGGAAUCGUACGCAGUGGGCGAGAGCAUGACGGAGCGACGCCGCGUGUGUUAUAGAGGCCUUCGGAGCGUAAUAAUCUGUUAUGAGGGAAGAACAGAUGUGUAAGUAACUGAGCACAUCUUGACGGUACCUAAUAAGAAAGCCACGGCUAACUACGUG